GGGCCUGAUAUAAGAUUUGGCCUGCCCAUGAAUAUUUUAAUGGCUGCAGUAUUUUGACUGUACAAAGGUAGCAUAAUCAUUUGUCUUUUAAUUGAAGUCUGGAAUGAAUGGUUUGAUGAAAAAUUUACUUUCUUUAUUUUAAAUAAAUAAUUUGAUUUUUUAAUUAAAAAGUUGAAAUUUUAAUAUAGGACGAGAAGACCCUAUAGAACUUUAUUUUAAUUAAAAAAAUAUAGUUUUGGUAAUGAAUUUUUGUUUUUUUAAAAAAAUUUUGUUGGGGUGAUAGAAAAAAUUUUUUAACUUUUUUUUAUUUUAUCAUUAAUAUAUGAUUUUUUGAUCCUUUAUUAUGGAAAAAAAGAUUAAGUUACCUUAGGGAUAACAGCGUUAUUAUUUUAGAGAGUUCAUAUCGAUAAAAUAGUUUGCGACCUCGAUGUUGGAUUAAAAUAAGUUUCAGGAGUAGAAUAUUGAAUACUAGGUCUGUUCGACCUUUAAAUUUUUACAUGAUCUGAGUUCAACCGGGAUGACUUGAUUUGUUCAAACAUGUUUUGGGUACCCACGGUCGGUUUGGUAUUGAAAACGGACGGUACACUCCCCGG
This 593-nucleotide ribosomal RNA is filed under the name Pilophorus typicus. Its description in RNAcentral is "partial 16S ribosomal RNA". The stretch from base 372 to 528 matches the Rfam family "Bacterial large subunit ribosomal RNA", at positions 2473 to 2632 of the family's 2925-position model. Lineage: Eukaryota; Metazoa; Arthropoda; Insecta; Hemiptera; Miridae. The record is from RNAcentral.